Molecule: ribosomal RNA, 305 nt
Filed under: uncultured bacterium
Lineage: Bacteria
Description: bacterial SSU rRNA
Rfam family: Bacterial small subunit ribosomal RNA
Source: RNAcentral
UUAACCUACGGGAGGCAGCAGUGAGGAAUAUUGGUCAAUGGCCGAGAGGCUGAACCAGCCAAGUCGCGUGAGGGAUGACGGCCCUACGGGUUGUAAACCUCUUUUGUCGGGGAGCAAAAGCCGGACGUGUCCGUCUGUGAGAGUACCCGAAGAAAAAGCAUCGGCUAACUCCGUGCCAGCAGCCGCGGUAAUACGGAGGAUGCGAGCGUUAUCCGGCUUUAUUGGGUUUAAAGGGUGCGCAGGCGGAUUUUUAAGUCAGCGGUCAAAUCGUGGGGCUCAACCCCAUCCAGCCGUUGAAACUGGGG